This 261-nucleotide long non-coding RNA is filed under the name Rhinolophus ferrumequinum (greater horseshoe bat). RNAcentral describes it as "lncRNA (ENSRFEG00010000959.1)". The record is from RNAcentral. Lineage: Eukaryota; Metazoa; Chordata; Mammalia; Chiroptera; Rhinolophidae.
CCCGUGUGACAGUAUCAUCAGCUCAAGGCCAGAGGCUAUGGGAGAAGGUUGGAGGUGGCAGCUGAAAUGUGUGAAAACCCUCCUGCAGGCUCCGUGGUCAGCUCCUACAGUCAGAGGACUUGGCUUGGCCCAGCAUUUCUCGGGUGAAAAACAGCUGAUCUGAUGAGGAUUCUGAAGUGGUCUGCUGCAUUGGAAAUAAAGGUAUUCCCUUGUACUGAAGUUCACUGUUAACUCCAUUUUUUUUUCCAUCCUGUUUACAUG